ACGUAGGGGGCAAGCGUUAUCCGGAUUUACUGGGUGUAAAGGGAGCGUAGACGGCACGGCAAGCCAGAUGUGAAAGCUCGGGGCUCAACCCCGGGACUGCAUUUGGAACUGCUGAGCUAGAGUGUCGGAGAGGCAAGUGGAAUUCCUAGUGUAGCGGUGAAAUGCGUAGAUAUUAGGAGGAACACCAGUGGCGAAGGCGGCUUGCUGGACGAUGACUGACGUUGAGGCUCGAAAGCGUGGGGAGCAAACAG
Molecule: ribosomal RNA, 251 nt
Filed under: uncultured bacterium
Lineage: Bacteria
Description: partial 16S ribosomal RNA
Rfam family: Bacterial small subunit ribosomal RNA
Source: RNAcentral